GACGAGGGGUCCUAGCGUUGUUCGGAAUCAUUGGGCGUAAAGCGUGUGUAGGCGGCCUUGUAAGUCAGUUGUGAAAGCCCCGGGCUCAACCCGGGAAGUGCUUCUGAUACUGCGAGGCUUGAGUACUGGAGGAGGAUAGUGGAAUUCCAGGUGUAGUGGUGAAAUACGUAGAUAUCUGGAGGAACACCGGUGGCGAAGGCGGCUAUCUGGCCAUGUACUGACGCUGAGACACGAAAGCGGGUGGGAGCAAACAGGG
RNAcentral lists this ribosomal RNA (256 nucleotides) under uncultured bacterium. RNAcentral describes it as "partial 16S ribosomal RNA". It matches the Rfam family "Bacterial small subunit ribosomal RNA", at positions 524 to 777 of the family's 1533-position model. The record is from RNAcentral.